AGCAGCCGCGGUAAUUCCAGCUCCAAUAGUGUAUAUUAAAGUUGUUGCAGUUAAAAAGCUCGUAGUUGAAUUUCGGGGUCAGCAGGUUGGUCGUGCCACUGGUAUGCACUGGUUUCGCUGAUUCCUCCUUUCUGAAGAACUGUAAUGUCAUUAAUUUGGUGUUGCAGGGAAACAGGACUGUUACUUUGAAAAAAUUAGAGUGUUUAAAGCAGGCUAACGCUUGAAUACAUUAGCAUGGAAUAAUGAAAUAGGACGUUUGAUCCUAUUUUGUUGGUUUCUAGGAUUGACGUAAUGAUUAAUAGGGAUAGUUGGGGGCAUUAGUAUUCAAUUGUCAGAGGUGAAAUUCUUGGAUUUAUUGAAGACUAACUACUGCGAAAGCAUUUGCCAAGGAUGUUUUCAUUAAUCAAGAACGAAAGUUAGGGGAUCGAAGACAAUCAGAUACCGUCGUAGUCUUAACCAUAAACUAUGCCGACUAGGGAUCGGAUGAUGUUAAUUUUUUAAUGACUCA
RNAcentral lists this ribosomal RNA (508 nucleotides) under uncultured fungus. RNAcentral's name for it is "SSU rRNA". It matches the Rfam family "Eukaryotic small subunit ribosomal RNA", at positions 569 to 1078 of the family's 1831-position model. Lineage: Eukaryota; Fungi. The record is from RNAcentral.